Molecule: small RNA, 408 nt
Filed under: Pan troglodytes (chimpanzee)
Lineage: Eukaryota; Metazoa; Chordata; Mammalia; Primates; Hominidae
Description: processed transcript
Source: RNAcentral
CUUCGUUUGGAGGAAGGUAGGGUUUGUUCUAACGCUUUGCACAAAGGCGGGAAACGGUCAUCAAAGCUAUUGCGAAGGGAAAAGCCAAUGCAUUAAUUCGAUCCAAGAGGACUCGCCUCGUUGGAUUUGCAGCAACCUAAUCUCUCGCUCAGGAAGAAAACGCCACGAUAAAGAGUUUUCUGUCCUCCUCGUUUGCACGGAGCAGCAAACGCAGAGACAAAAGAAACGGGCCCCGACUGACAGGGGCUCACUCUGUCCCCCAGGCCAGAGUGCAGUGGCGCGACCACAGCCUUCUGCAGCCUCAGCUUCCGUGCUCAAGGGACGCGCCCGCCUCAGCCUCCCAACAUGCUGGGAUUACGGGCGUGAGCCACCGCCCCGGAACAACUUAAUUAAAAAAAAAAAGCCAUA